GCAAACUUGGUCAUUUAGAGGAAGUAAAAGUCGUAACAAGGUCUCCGUAGGUGAACCUGCGGAGGGAUCAUCAUUGAAAACACAAUUUGACAAGAGGUUUUUGUGGAGGGAGAAGGGAGGGGAGGCAGAGAAACUCUGCAUCUCCAAACUUUGAUUGAGACGAGGCCUCUUGACAAACAACCAAUCUUCAUGACUAGGAAAAACAUUUGGCAGUGAAGUGAAUAACAAGUUCUUGUCUGACAAGUAGCUUACUGAUUUGGAGCACGAUAACUAAUACAACUUUCGACAACGGAUCUCUUGGCUCUCACAUCGAUGAAGAACGCAGC
RNAcentral lists this unclassified non-coding RNA (326 nucleotides) under uncultured fungus. Its description in RNAcentral is "partial contains small subunit ribosomal RNA, internal transcribed spacer 1, and 5.8S ribosomal RNA". The stretch from base 1 to 73 matches the Rfam family "Eukaryotic small subunit ribosomal RNA", at positions 1759 to 1831 of the family's 1831-position model. Lineage: Eukaryota; Fungi. The record is from RNAcentral.